AUGGAUGCUUCGCGCCAGUAUUUAUGCAGCUACCUUGAGUCGUUAAUUGCUAUAGCUCAAAAUUCUAAUUGUGAUCCGGUGAAAGGUAAAGCGGUGAUAUCUUAUGAUCCAGCGGUAAAUAGGCCACAUGAAAUAUCAAGAAUUGUGCCUCCUGUUAAGUGGCUUCCUCCUCCCGAGGGUUGGGUGAAGCUCAAUACGGAUGGUUCCUGGACUAAUGAUGGAAGGGCCGGUGCUGGUAUGUUGCUUCGCGAUAAUCUAGGCAACAUUAUUUACUCAUCUUGCAGGGAGUUAUUUUCAUGCCGAGAUGCCCUCGAAGCAGAAUUAUGCGCAUGCAUGGAGGGUUUAUCCAUUGCUAUUCAACGGACGGAACUUCCAGUUUGUAUCGAGAUGGAUUCACUUAUAGCGGUGAACAUGUUGAGGGACAAGGACAUUGACAGGUCAAUCUACGCGUCUUUGGUGGCAGUGAUAAAAACUGAGAGUAGAACUGUUGUCUGGUUGAGAUCAGGACCCCAAGAGGUCAUCGAUUUAUCUCGAUAUGGUGGAUUGGUUGGGGUUGGGCUUGACGUCGUAGCUACUCCUGCUGGGCCGCUGGGUUUGGUGAGACGCGCCCUCCUCCUCUGCCUGCUGGCCGCACGCCGCGUGCAUGCUCGCUUAGCUCAUUUGACCUACCUGCAGAUGCGAGCAUGGUUUAAAAUCCUGAACCGGCAAUCAAAUUUGGUUAGCAGCGACGCCGCAGGCGAUUCCUUGAUCGCCGGGAGGAUCGCUGCCUUCCACCCAUACCGAAUCGUCGUCCUUCAGGAGACGACGAGGGAGACAUAG
This 819-nucleotide ribosomal RNA is filed under the name Triticum aestivum (bread wheat). RNAcentral describes it as "partial small subunit ribosomal RNA". The record is from RNAcentral. Lineage: Eukaryota; Viridiplantae; Streptophyta; Magnoliopsida; Poales; Poaceae.